Molecule: ribosomal RNA, 253 nt
Filed under: uncultured bacterium
Lineage: Bacteria
Description: partial 16S ribosomal RNA
Rfam family: Bacterial small subunit ribosomal RNA
Source: RNAcentral
UACGUAGGGGGCUAGCGUUGUCCGGAAUCAUUGGGCGUAAAGCGCGUGUAGGCGGUCCGGUAAGUCCGCUGUGAAAGUCGGGGGCUCAACCCUCGGAUGCCGGUGGAUACUGUCGGGCUUGAGUACGGAAGAGGCGAGUGGAAUUCCUGGUGUAGCGGUGAAAUGCGCAGAUAUCAGGAGGAACACCAAUUGCGAAGGCAGCUCGCUGGGACGCUACUGACGCUGAGACGCGAAAGCGUGGGGAGCAAACAGG